Molecule: long non-coding RNA, 3108 nt
Filed under: Cottoperca gobio
Lineage: Eukaryota; Metazoa; Chordata; Actinopteri; Perciformes; Bovichtidae
Description: lncRNA (ENSCGOG00000024031.1)
Source: RNAcentral
AUGAGGACAAGCCCGGGACGGUCACGCCCGCUGAGUCUGGCAUCCGGUCCUCUGAGCCGCAGGAUGGCCAAUCCACUGUGGUGCCGAGCAGUCCUGUCCUGUCACAGAUGUCCAUGCCCGGAACGUGGUUACUGGGCCACAGGAGGCUGCCGGGGAUGCUGGGACAAAUGCCCUCAUGUCAUUAUGGGAAGACCCCAGAUGGACCAGUCCUCUAGCUGUGCGCUACAGUCCCCUGUACACGAGAGGAGCAUUGCAAUACCACUAGAGGCGCCCUCUGGUAAAUCCGAAAAGCUUCCAGAGGACAUCUUAAAAGAUGGAGGGAGGUUGGAGUUAGCUCCAGUGCCAAGCUCAGCCAAAGGCCACACUGCUCAUCUUACAAACGACAGAGACCCAGAGAGUGAUUCUGGUCUGCCUGAUCGCUCCUCGGAGCCGAAUCAGCAGCCUCAAGCUGACACAGCAGGAGGCGCUAUGGAGAGCACCGUCACCGUCUCCUCCUCUCCACCCCCAGCUCUGCUCAGGAGAAGAGACUCUCCCUCGUCCCCUAAAUUGAGUCGGAUCCCAGUACGAGACCCCAGCAACCACCCGGACUCUCCGUGCAGGGACCUCAACAUGGAGAGGCGUCAUCGCUGGAGCAGUCCAAUCCCAGGCUCGCCCACCCACUCACCCUCUCCGUCUUUGUCCUGUGACAACCUGCCUUGCGCUUUGCCGAGAGACCGGCUCUUCUCAGAGCGAGGCUCCAGGUCCGACUGUGUUGGAGAAGACCCUCUCUCUCUGUCCUCCUCAUCGGGUAGUAAAAGUAAGAUCCCACGUCCCGUGAGCGGCACCUUUAUACCGGAGCAACUCACUAGCAGGUUUCUGCCUCGACCACCUCCAGGGAAACCACCCAUCCGCCCGUGUGUGGACAACAGAAGACGGCGGUUAAGAGUGCGUGCCAGCAGCACUAGUGACGCAGACUUCCUGGCAAGUCUGACUCAGCUGAUGCAGGACCGAACUGGGAUGCUCUUCAGCCCUCCUCCUCGCCCUCGCAGCUCCUCCUCCUCCCUGCAGCGCUCGCAAAGCUCCUCCCCCUCCCGCCAGGAGCUCCGGGAGGGCGGGGUACUGCAGGGACGCAGCCGCUCUCCAUCUAGCUUCUCCGGCUCCCCUCCUCCUCGGCACCCUCUCCCACAUGACAGGUCCGGAGUGCAGGGUCAGUGGGGCUACAGCUCCAGGGGAAGGGGUCUCCUCCACGAGGCUAAAGGCUCCGGCAAAGUGAGUCGAUGACUGUAAUUGACACACAAGUGACUAAUCGGGAUGGUGCAACUGUAGCGAGAGGCUGUUUCACAUCCAGUCGCUGAUAGCAUGUGUAAAUACGGUAUAUACUCAAGGGAAUGUACUGUAUGUAAUGUAAAAUGUAUAAAAUGUAUUUAUUUAUUUAUUCAUUUGUUGGAUGUGUCUCUUAAACACUUGACGAUGUGGCUUGAUACCUGCAGUUGAAACAAAAAAGGUUGAGAAAACCUUAAGAUUGCCAACUCUUACCUCUCAUUUCACUUCUCUCUUAACUCUCCAUAUAGGCCUAAUAUGAGACCAAAAAGAUAAUGUUUAAUACUUGAGGAUUGUAAAAAUGAUGCUAAUUGUAGAUAUGUACCAUGAGGAAAAUAGUAAACAGUAAUAGAAACUAUGAACUCACGUUAAGAACACUAAUAGUAAAUAACACCACACGCAGUAUACCGACGUCGGCAUUCAUGUACAGAAUCAGGGCAUGCAGCUCCAUGUUGACCUCACUCCUGUAAAACAGCUGGAUUCAUUAUUGUAUGUGACAAUGAAUUGCUCAUUUGGCAUAUCACAGUGUAGUAGUGUGCUUUUACUUUGCUAGAAAAUAUUUGUCAUGCAAAAGGCAUCCGCAUAUUAGAAUGUACAUGUAAGUGCACUCAUACUUUAAGUAUUGUAAAAGUGCAUGAGUAUCAUUGCAAAUGAUUUUAUUUUAUUUUUAUUCAUUUGUACAAUCCGCUACGACAUGUGUAUUUUUAUUGAACUGCUUAUGAUCGAAAAAACAUCAUAAUGUAGACCAGCAACGAUGUGCAAUUUUCUUUCUUACAUCACGUAGAUGGUAAAGGGAGGAAACUGAUAAAAAUGGAACCUGUUCAUCAUGUCUGAUUGUUGUUGCAUUUUAUUUUUAGCACAGUUUUAAAUAUAUAUAUUAUGUUAUAUUAUAUUAAAAUGAGUAAAGUCAGAAGAUAUUCAUUCCUGGCUACAACUGCUGCAAUGUUCGUUGUGAUCAAAGGGUCAGUGCAUUUACAUUCUCUCACAACUUCCUCAUUCACUCCUCGUGGUGUGCAGAUAGUUUUCUUUGGGUUGUGUUACGAUGAAUUAUGUUUUGCGGCACUAAUACCAAUGGAAACGGCAACAACAGUGCCCAAGUAGUCCCAAGCUUAGCAGCACCGUCAGCGCUCAGAUAAAUGGGAAGAAACAGUCAAAGCAGACAGUUAAACCUCGACUAAACGUGCUCAAAUGAUGAAGUAGUGGGUUUUUUUCACACCAGCUCAGACUGCAAUAUGUUCCCAGAGAAUAAUCACUUGUCAAAUUCUCUGGAAGCAGCUGGUUUCUUAGACUGACGUCCCGGUAAGCACAGGAGAGACUGUUGACAAGCUGGUGAUGGUGUCCCAGAUGACACAGUGAAAUGAAGGCUCCCCCAUAUGUUGUGGUUCAUUGACGUUUCAAAUUUAACAGCGCGGUUAAAGAAUGUGUUGAGCUCUUAAUUCUUAAAUAACUGCAAAAUUAAGAAUUAAUUUAACUUUCUUGUUACACCGACUCCACUCUGAAAACUUACCAUCAACCAGGUUUAUCAGUGUUUAUGUACAUGAGGAAGUGGAUGUAUAAGAUAUGAGGGGUGCUGUAAGGCAGGUGCAGGUCGGAUAUGAAUCUUGACUGCUACACAAGAAACAAACUACAAAAAUGGCCGGAUGUUGACACUAUAUCAAGCAACUUAAUUAAAAAACAACCGCCUCCUCCGCCUCCACUUCCACCGCCUCCUCCUUUAAGUUAAAAAUAAAUAAAUAUUAAAUCAAUAUUAUAAUUUAUAACCUCAAGAUACUGUCUCUUUAAGGUAAAAAUAAUUAUAUACUGUAUAUA